This 178-nucleotide non-coding RNA is filed under the name Cellvibrionales bacterium. RNAcentral describes it as "6S RNA". It matches the Rfam family "6S / SsrS RNA". From Rfam's summary of the family: E. coli 6S RNA was the first non coding RNA to be sequenced, but its function was unknown until recently. It consists of 184 nucleotides that fold into an extended hairpin structure with a large single-stranded internal bulge. Lineage: Bacteria; Pseudomonadati; Pseudomonadota; Gammaproteobacteria; Cellvibrionales. The record is from RNAcentral.
AGCGACCUGGAAUAUUUGCUAGCCAGCAUGUCCUUGAGCCGAUAAUACCCACUCGGAGGGUCUUCGAUAGUGGCAGCGUGCAUGCCCGGCAUGACCGGGAAGCCUGAGUCACUGCAGGGCCCACCACCUUGAACCUUUCGGUUCGAGGCCGCAACGGCGGCGGUAUUCUGGGGAGUUU